RNAcentral lists this ribosomal RNA (1527 nucleotides) under Klebsiella pneumoniae. RNAcentral describes it as "bacterial SSU rRNA". It matches the Rfam family "Bacterial small subunit ribosomal RNA". The record is from RNAcentral. Lineage: Bacteria; Pseudomonadati; Pseudomonadota; Gammaproteobacteria; Enterobacterales; Enterobacteriaceae.
AGAGUUUGAUCAUGGCUCAGAUUGAACGCUGGCGGCAGGCCUAACACAUGCAAGUCGAGCGGUAGCACAGAGAGCUUGCUCUCGGGUGACGAGCGGCGGACGGGUGAGUAAUGUCUGGGAAACUGCCUGAUGGAGGGGGAUAACUACUGGAAACGGUAGCUAAUACCGCAUAAUGUCGCAAGACCAAAGUGGGGGACCUUCGGGCCUCAUGCCAUCAGAUGUGCCCAGAUGGGAUUAGCUAGUAGGUGGGGUAACGGCUCACCUAGGCGACGAUCCCUAGCUGGUCUGAGAGGAUGACCAGCCACACUGGAACUGAGACACGGUCCAGACUCCUACGGGAGGCAGCAGUGGGGAAUAUUGCACAAUGGGCGCAAGCCUGAUGCAGCCAUGCCGCGUGUGUGAAGAAGGCCUUCGGGUUGUAAAGCACUUUCAGCGGGGAGGAAGGCGUUAAGGUUAAUAACCUUGGCGAUUGACGUUACCCGCAGAAGAAGCACCGGCUAACUCCGUGCCAGCAGCCGCGGUAAUACGGAGGGUGCAAGCGUUAAUCGGAAUUACUGGGCGUAAAGCGCACGCAGGCGGUCUGUCAAGUCGGAUGUGAAAUCCCCGGGCUCAACCUGGGAACUGCAUUCGAAACUGGCAGGCUAGAGUCUUGUAGAGGGGGGUAGAAUUCCAGGUGUAGCGGUGAAAUGCGUAGAGAUCUGGAGGAAUACCGGUGGCGAAGGCGGCCCCCUGGACAAAGACUGACGCUCAGGUGCGAAAGCGUGGGGAGCAAACAGGAUUAGAUACCCUGGUAGUCCACGCCGUAAACGAUGUCGAUUUGGAGGUUGUGCCCUUGAGGCGUGGCUUCCGGAGCUAACGCGUUAAAUCGACCGCCUGGGGAGUACGGCCGCAAGGUUAAAACUCAAAUGAAUUGACGGGGCCCGCACAAGCGGUGGAGCAUGUGGUUUAAUUCGAUGCAACGCGAAGAACCUUACCUGGUCUUGACAUCCACAGAACUUAGCAGAGAUGCUUUGGUGCCUUCGGGAACUGUGAGACAGGUGCUGCAUGGCUGUCGUCAGCUCGUGUUGUGAAAUGUUGGGUUAAGUCCCGCAACGAGCGCAACCCUUAUCCUUUGUUGCCAGCGGUUCGGCCGGGAACUCAAAGGAGACUGCCAGUGAUAAACUGGAGGAAGGUGGGGAUGACGUCAAGUCAUCAUGGCCCUUACGACCAGGGCUACACACGUGCUACAAUGGCAUAUACAAAGAGAAGCGACCUCGCGAGAGCAAGCGGACCUCAUAAAGUAUGUCGUAGUCCGGAUUGGAGUCUGCAACUCGACUCCAUGAAGUCGGAAUCGCUAGUAAUCGUAGAUCAGAAUGCUACGGUGAAUACGUUCCCGGGCCUUGUACACACCGCCCGUCACACCAUGGGAGUGGGUUGCAAAAGAAGUAGGUAGCUUAACCUUCGGGAGGGCGCUUACCACUUUGUGAUUCAUGACUGGGGUGAAGUCGUAACAAGGUAACCGUAGGGGAACCUGCGGUUGGAUCACCU